Vidua chalybeata is the source of this 838-nucleotide long non-coding RNA. RefSeq lists it as uncharacterized. The record is from RefSeq and is a predicted model, not a curated record. Lineage: Eukaryota; Metazoa; Chordata; Aves; Passeriformes; Viduidae. The transcript has 3 exons.
GUCACCGGCUGCUGUCAGAGACAGGACGCCUGCCUUCAAUGACCAGACAGGUUGGCUGCCCUAGGAACAGCCUGUCCCUGGCACAGCUCUGGAGUCUUCAGACAAUGUAAGAGAAAGGCCCUGCCUGUUUUGCCAAGGGCUGCAUAAGAGUCCCCAGGACACUGUUUGGAGAUUUGCUAGAUUUUCUUCCUUUUACAAGAAGACAAAGUGCAACCAGGAAAGACUCGGUCACUUUGGAAACUCUGUGCCCUACGGUAUAAACCCAAACUUUCCUACACCAUCAUGGGUUUGGAUUCAGAGGGGACAGUUUGGUGCACGCAAACACAGAUUUGGCAUCAGUACCACAACCCUUCUGAAAUUAUCAUUUCUCCUGGACUUCUCUGACAUCUCUGUUCUUCAUAGGCCCUCAAGAUUGAAUUGACAUCCCUACCCUCCCUCACCAAUCCCCUGCAUUUUGGGACUCCUAAAAUAUGGGCUUCUGAAGAGAAAAGAAGCUGCUCCGUUGACAACAGAAUCUUCUGGUAUUGCGCAAGGAGUAGCAUUAGGGGAAAAGCCAGCAGUGAUGAACCACCACUACUUUUAGACCAGCAAGUGCACGAGAUCCUGCCAUUCACAAAACCACAGUGGUGUCACUAGAGCAAUGGAUGUUUCAGACGUGGUAACCCAUGAACCAAGGCAAAAUUCUCCUUCAAACAACAUCCCUUGACAGUCUUAACUGGCAGCCAAACUGCAUUCGAGGAUCCAGGGAUUUCUGUAGCUCAAGGAGCAGGACCCACUGGAGGGAAGUCACCAGUCAUUGUGUUACAGGAUGUGGAUAGGAGCUGCAGUAACCCCCUGA